GCGAGCGUAGCUCAGCCUGGUAGAGCGCAACCUUGCCAAGGUUGAUGUCGAGGGUUCGAAUCCCUUCGCUCGCUCCA
Molecule: transfer RNA, 77 nt
Filed under: Verrucomicrobiota bacterium
Lineage: Bacteria; Pseudomonadati; Verrucomicrobiota
Also listed under: 3 other names
Description: tRNA-Gly
Rfam family: tRNA
About the family: Transfer RNA (tRNA) molecules are approximately 80 nucleotides in length. Their secondary structure includes four short double-helical elements and three loops (D, anti-codon, and T loops).
Source: RNAcentral